This 598-nucleotide ribosomal RNA is filed under the name Actinomycetales bacterium HP3. Its description in RNAcentral is "bacterial SSU rRNA". It matches the Rfam family "Bacterial small subunit ribosomal RNA", at positions 60 to 675 of the family's 1533-position model. Lineage: Bacteria; Bacillati; Actinomycetota; Actinomycetes; Actinomycetales. The record is from RNAcentral.
AGUCGAGCGGAAGGCCCUUCGGGGUACUCGAGCGGCGAACGGGUGAGUAACACGUGAGUAACCUGCCCUAGGCUUUGGGAUAACCCCGGGAAACCGGGGCUAAUACCGGAUAUGACUGGCUGCCGCAUGGUGGUUGGUGGAAAGAUUUUUCGGCUUGGGAUGGACUCGCGGCCUAUCAGCUUGUUGGUGGGGUAAUGGCCUACCAAGGCGGGGACGGGUAGCCGGCCUGAGAGGGCGACCGGCCACACUGGGACUGAGACACGGCCCAGACUCCUACGGGAGGCAGCAGUGGGGAAUCUUGCACAAUGGGCGGAAGCCUGAUGCAGCGACGCCGCGUGAGGGAUGACGGCCUUCGGGUUGUAAACCUCUUUCAGCAGGGACGAAGCGUUUGUGACGGUACCUGCAGAAGAAGCGCCGGCCAACUACGUGCCAGCAGCCGCGGUAAGACGUAGGGCGCGAGCGUUGUCCGGAUUUAUUGGGCGUAAAGAGCUCGUAAGCGGCUUGUCGCGUCGACUGUGAAAACCCGUGGGUCAACUGCGGGCUUGCAGUCGAUACGGGCAGGCUAGAGUUCGGUAGGGGGAGACUGGAAUUCCUGGUG